Molecule: ribosomal RNA, 468 nt
Filed under: uncultured bacterium
Lineage: Bacteria
Description: partial 16S ribosomal RNA
Rfam family: Bacterial small subunit ribosomal RNA
Source: RNAcentral
GACGAACGCUGGCGGCGUGCUUAACACAUGCAAGUCGAACGGAAAGGCCCUGCUUUUGUGGGGUGCUCGAGUGGCGAACGGGUGAGUAACACGUGAGUAACCUGCCCUUGACUUUGGGAUAACUUCAGGAAACUGGGGCUAAUACCGGAUAGGAGCUCCUGCUGCAUGGUGGGGGUUGGAAAGUUUCGGCGGUUGGGGAUGGACUCGCGGCUUAUCAGCUUGUUGGUGGGGUAGUGGCUUACCAAGGCUUUGACGGGUAGCCGGCCUGAGAGGGUGACCGGCCUCAUUGGGACUGAGAUACGGCCCAGACUCCUACGGGAGGCAGCAGUGGGGAAUAUUGCACAAUGGGCGGAAGCCUGAUGCAGCAACGCCGCGUGCGGGAUGAAGGCCUUCGGGUUGUAAACCGCUUUCGCCUGUGACGAAGCGUGAGUGACGGUAAUGGGUAAAGAAGCACCGGCUAACUACGUG